GGCUGUGCUCUGGGAUGAGGGCUGCCAGGAGGCUGUUCCUGCACAAGGCCCUUUGCCCGCCACAGCCCACAGUUCCCACUCAUUUCUGCCCCACAGUCCAUGCUGCUCCUGGCCCCAAAGCUGAACGAGGCCAACCUCAAUGUGGAGCUGAUGAAGCACUUUGCACGGCUACAGGCCAAGGAUGAACAGGGCCCCAUCCGCUGCAACACCACGGUCUGCCUGGGCAAAAUCGGCUCCUACCUCAGUGCUAGCACCAGACACAGGGUCCUUACCUCUGCCUUCAGCCGAGCCACUAAGGACCCGUUUGCACCAUCCCGGGUUGCGGGUGUCCUGGGCUUUGCUGCCACCCACAACCUCUACUCAAUGAACGACUGUGCCCACAAGAUCCUGCCUGUGCUCUGCGGUCUCACUGUAGAUCCUGAGAAAUCUGUGCGAGACCAGGCCUUCAAGGCCAUUCGGAGCUUCCUGUCCAAAUUGGAGUCUGUGUCGGAGGACCCGACCCAGCUGGAGGAAGUGGAGAAGGAUGUCCAUGCAGCCUCCAGCCCUGGCAUGGGAGGAGCCGCAGCCAGCUGGGCAGGCUGGGCCGUGACCGGGGUCUCCUCACUCACCUCCAAGCUGAUCCGUUCGCACCCAACCACUGCCCCCACAGAAACCAACAUUCCCCAAAGACCCACGCCUGAAGGAGUUCCUGCCCCGGCCCCACCCUGUUCCUGCCGCCCCUACCACCUCAGGCCACUGGGAGACGCAGGAUGAGGACAAGGACACAGCAGAGGACAGCAGCGCUGCUGACAGAUGGGACGACGAAGACUGGGGCAGCC
RNAcentral lists this small RNA (818 nucleotides) under Pongo abelii (Sumatran orangutan). Its description in RNAcentral is "retained intron". Lineage: Eukaryota; Metazoa; Chordata; Mammalia; Primates; Hominidae. The record is from RNAcentral.